Coffea arabica (coffee) is the source of this 635-nucleotide long non-coding RNA. RefSeq lists it as uncharacterized. NCBI's taxonomy places the organism in Eukaryota, Viridiplantae, Streptophyta, Magnoliopsida, Gentianales, Rubiaceae. The record is from RefSeq and is a predicted model, not a curated record.
ACCAAGUUUUCGACAGUAACCAGUUACAAAUAUCAGUGUAUUAGCUAGCGAGUUCUUCAAGGAAAAGUUGGCUGGACAGAUGGACCUAGUACCAGUGAACCCGGCUGAGCCUCACGUGACCGCGAUUGGACAAUUUGCAGUGGAUGAGGAAAACAAGAAGCGGCCGACUAAUAAGCUGAAUUUUGUCGCCGUGGUUGGCGGAUACCAUGGGCCCGUUACUGGAGCCACUCGCUACCCACUCAUCCUUGGAACUCAGGAUGGUAAAGGCCACACAUUUCUGCACAAAGCACUUGUCCAUGAGAAACCAGAUGGAAGCUUGGAACUCAAAGGGUACUGGGAGUAAUCAAGCGCUACCCUUGAUCAUCAACUGAGGAUCAACGACUUCAAGUACUUUAAUUAUCUAGUGUCUAUAUAUGGUGUGGUUUUCAGUUUAUGCAUGCAUGGAUGAUGUACAGCUGCCAUGCAUACAUCUUCCCACUGUUUUAUUAGUAUGUUGAAUAAGGUGCACUUGUACCAACAAAAAUGCACCAUUCCGUCUCUGUUUGAGUUUGUGUCUGUGUCUUUUGUGUCUGUGUUUGUAUCCUUGUACUGGUAUGUUAAAUAAAUAAAAACAGUCGUGAGUUUGAGUUUGUAUC